RNAcentral lists this ribosomal RNA (400 nucleotides) under phytoplankton environmental sample. RNAcentral's name for it is "partial small subunit ribosomal RNA". It matches the Rfam family "Eukaryotic small subunit ribosomal RNA", at positions 587 to 984 of the family's 1831-position model. The record is from RNAcentral.
AGCUCCAGUAGCGUAUAUUAAAGUUGUUGCAGUUAAAAAGCUCGUAGUUGGAUUUCUGGUCUGGCGCGUUUGGCCCGCUCCGGUUACGGAUGUGAGUGCAAUGCGCGCCUGCCAUCCUUCUAGAAAACGUUUCUACCCUUCAUUGGGCCGGAUUCGCAAUCUAGAUCUUUUACUUUGAAAAAAUUAGAGUGUUUAAAGCAGGCUUGUGCUAUGAAUACAUUAGCAUGGAAUAAUAAUUUAGGACUUUGGUUCUAUUUUGUUGGUUUCUAGAACCGAAGUAAUGAUUGAUAGGGAUAGUUGGGGGUGCUAGUAUUCAGCGGCCAGAGGUGAAAUUCUUGGAUUCGCUGAAGACUAACUUAUGCGAAAGCAUUCACCAAGGAUGUCUUCUUUAAUCAAGAAC